UGGGGAAUAUUGGACAAUGGGCGGAAGCCUGAUCCAGCAACGCCGCGUGAGGGAUGACGGCCUUCGGGUUGUAAACCUCUUUCAGUACCGACGAAGCGAAAGUGACGGUAGGUACAGAAGAAGGACCGGCCAACUACGUGCCAGCAGCCGCGGUAAUACGUAGGGUCCGAGCGUUGUCCGGAAUUAUUGGGCGUAAAGGGCUCGUAGGCGGUUUGUCGCGUCGGGAGUGAAAACAGCGGGCUUAACUCGUUGCUUGCUUUCGAUACGGGGCAGACUAGAGGUAUGCAGGGGAGAAUGGAAUUCCUGGUGUAGUGGUGAAAUGCGCAGAUAUCAGGAGGAACACCGGUGGCGAAGGCGGUUCUCUGGGCAUUACCUGACGCUGAGGAGCGAAAGUGUGGGAGCGAACAGGAUUAGAUACCCUGGUAGUCCACACCGUAAACGUUGGGCGCUAGGUGUGGGGUCCUUUCCACGGAUUCCGUGCCGUAGCUAACGCAUUAAGCGCCCCGCCUGGGGAGUACGGCCGCAAGGCUAAAACUUAAAUGAAUUGACGGGGUCUAGCUGUUUCC
RNAcentral lists this ribosomal RNA (566 nucleotides) under uncultured bacterium. Its description in RNAcentral is "partial 16S ribosomal RNA". It matches the Rfam family "Bacterial small subunit ribosomal RNA", at positions 355 to 931 of the family's 1533-position model. The record is from RNAcentral.